This 460-nucleotide ribosomal RNA is filed under the name uncultured bacterium. RNAcentral's name for it is "partial 16S ribosomal RNA". It matches the Rfam family "Bacterial small subunit ribosomal RNA", at positions 338 to 795 of the family's 1533-position model. The record is from RNAcentral.
CCUACGGGUGGCAGCAGUGAGGAAUAUUGGUCAAUGGACGCAAGUCUGAACCAGCCAUGCCGCGUGCAGGAAGACGGCUCUAUGAGUUGUAACCUGCUUUUGUACGAGGGUAAACGCAGAUACGCGUAUCUGUCUGAAAGUAUCGUACGCAUAAGGAACGGCUAACUCCGUGCCCGCAGCCGAGGUAAUACGGAGGCUUCAAGCGUUAUCCGGAUUUAUUGGGUUUAAAGGGUGCGUAGGCGGUCGGAUAAGUUAGAGGUGAAAUGCCCAGGAUCAACUUCGGAAUUGCCUCUGAUACUGUUCGGCUAGAGAGUAGUUGCGGUAGGCGGAAUGUAUGGUGUAGCGGUGAAAUGCUUAGAGAUCAGACAGAACACCGAUUGCGAAGGCAGCUUACCAAGCUACUUCUGACGUUGAGGCACGAAAGCGUGGGGAGCAAACAGGAUUAGAUACCCGUGUAGUC